Molecule: ribosomal RNA, 253 nt
Filed under: uncultured bacterium
Lineage: Bacteria
Description: partial 16S ribosomal RNA
Rfam family: Bacterial small subunit ribosomal RNA
Source: RNAcentral
UACGUAGGGUGCGAGCGUUAAUCGGAAUUACUGGGCGUAAAGCGUGCGUAGGCGGUUUGUUAAGUCUGUUGUGAAAUCCCCGGGCUCAACCUGGGAAUGGCAAUGGAUACUGGCAAGCUAGAGUGUGUCAGAGGAUGGUGGAAUUCCCGGUGUAGCGGUGAAAUGCGUAGAGAUCGGGAGGAACAUCAGUGGCGAAGGCGGCCAUCUGGGACAACACUGACGCUGAGGCACGAAAGCGUGGGGAGCAAACAGG